CUUCACCGACCCCAACCACACCGGCCGCUCCCCCGAACGACCCUGCCCGUACGUGGCGAGCAACGCCUGCGCCUC
Streptomyces avermitilis MA-4680 = NBRC 14893 is the source of this 75-nucleotide non-coding RNA. It matches the Rfam family "ASpks TB sRNA". The record is from Rfam. Lineage: Bacteria; Bacillati; Actinomycetota; Actinomycetes; Kitasatosporales; Streptomycetaceae.